UACGGAAGGCAGCAGUGGGGAAUAUUGGACAAUGGGCGCAAGCCUGAUCCAGCCAUGCCGCGUGUGUGAAGAAGGCCUUUUUGGUUGUAAAGCACUUUAAGCGAGGAGGAGGCUCUCUUAGUUAAUACCUAAGAUGAGUGGACGUUACUCGCAGAAUAAGCACCGGCUAACUCUGUGCCAGCAGCCGCGGUAAUACAGAGGGUGCGAGCGUUAAUCGGAUUUACUGGGCGUAAAGCGUGCGUAGGCGGCUUUUUUAAGUCGGAUGUGAAAUCCCCGAGCUUAACUUGGGAAUUGCAUUCGAUACUGGGAAGCUAGAGUAUGGGAGAGGAUGGUAGAAUUCCAGGUGUAGCGGUGAAAUGCGUAGAGAUCUGGAGGAAUACCGAUGGGCGAAGGGCAGCCAUCUGGGCCUAAUACUGACGCUGAGGUACGAAAGCAUGGGGA
This 441-nucleotide ribosomal RNA is filed under the name uncultured bacterium. RNAcentral describes it as "bacterial SSU rRNA". It matches the Rfam family "Bacterial small subunit ribosomal RNA", at positions 340 to 767 of the family's 1533-position model. The record is from RNAcentral.